AUUGAACGCUGGCGGCAGGCCUAACACUUGCAAGUCGAGCGAGCGGCGGACGGGUGAGUAAUGUAUGGGGACUGCCCGAUAGAGGGGGAUAACUACUGGAAACGGUAGCUAAUACCGCAUACUAUCGGAUAACCCAUAUGGGAUUAGCUAGUAGGUGAGGUAAUGGCUCAACUAGGCGACGAUCCCUAGCUGGUCUGAGAGGAUGAUCAGCCAAACUGGAACUGAGACCCGGCCCAGAUGCCUACGGAGGCAGCAGUGGGGAAUAUUGCACAAUGGGCGCAAGCCUGAUGCAGCCACGCCGCGUGUAUGAAGACGGCCCUAGGGUUGUAAAGUACGUUCAGUCGGGAGGCGUUACCGACAGAAGAAGCACCGGCUUACUCCGUGCCAGCAGCCGCGGUAAUAC
This 403-nucleotide ribosomal RNA is filed under the name uncultured bacterium. RNAcentral's name for it is "partial 16S ribosomal RNA". It matches the Rfam family "Bacterial small subunit ribosomal RNA", at positions 30 to 526 of the family's 1533-position model. The record is from RNAcentral.